UUGAUCAACGCUCUGACCUUAUGUGGACAUCCGCAAGUGAAAGAUCCCCUGAUCUACAUCUAAUUUGCAUCCAAAAACAACUCAGUCACCUCAAUGUGUUCCAAUUAUAAAUAGAAGCCACUUACAAAGCACGGCCCCAGAGACUGCAGUGAACCUUCAAUAUAGUUGCUUGAUUGCUUCUAUUGUUGGUUUCAUCUUGAUUGAUUCUCAAGUUUUCAGCGUAAGAUAGAACAAUGCAUCGUUCUAAAAUUAUGGUUCAAGAAAAAUGCAGUCUACCUCUUUUGACAUUUUUACUACAACACUAUAUGCCUAGCCUUAUCCACAACUAUGAACAUUUCAAGUAUAAGGAAUCAAAAGACUAUCCCUCCAUGCAAGGUUCGCCGUACCGGUACCGAACCCCAUACCGGUGCCGCACUAGUAUAGGCGUACCGAGUGUCGGUACGGUACCGUACACUCGGUACCGACCGUACCGACAUUGGUGUACCGAUACCAGUACCCAUCGGUACGGGUACGGUACGCUCGGUACCUACCGGUACCGACCGGUACAGCGAACCUUGCCUCCAUGUAUACUAUGCAAAAUGGGACCUCGAUGGCCUCUCAUGUUAGUGCUCAAACGGACCCAUAAUCAUGAAUGCUUUUAAUGACGUCUCCCAAUGCUUCUAGUUUGAGAUCAAGAACAUUCCGGAAUUGCCCAAAAUUUUCAGAUUUUGGGAAAAUAAGAAACCUAAGAACAACUCUAUAGUUGAGCAUUAUUGCCAUAACAGACAAGUGAACACCUAAGACUUUUAUACUCUUGAAAUAUUUUAGAAUCAAACGAAUGACAGCCCAUUUUUCAUUUUCUCCAAUUGGCACUCCUAAGAUCUAGCAAAAAAAAGGGUUAUCUAUCCACAUAUGCACUAUUCAAUUGACAUCUCUAUCGCCACUUUCUGUCAUUAGCUAAUGGUGCAAUUGCAUGUGCAGGUAUAUUGCAAAGAGGCAAAAUGAUCAAGACCAUCUGGUUCUCACUAACAAGGGAAGAGAACAACUUCAAAGUGGUGGGCUAUCAUAUGAAACCACAAGCAGUAUUUUGAAACCAGUGCCUCUUGUCGUGAUAAUUCAGGUACUUGAAUUGGCAGUUGGCAAGCAUAUUAGAUGAUGUAUAAUGUGAACAUUAUAGUGUGCAGACAUAGCCUCAAGCCCUUUGUAUAAGUUGACAUAGUUUCAACAACAAAGAUGAGAAAGUAAUGAAUAUACAUAUAUAUAGAAAGAGCGAAAGAGAGAGAGCACUAGUCGAGGCUACAGUUGAGUGGAUCUCCACUCAAAUCCGGUCAGGUCUAAAUUGGAUGAGAGCCGGCAUCGAUAAUCCAAACUGUUGGAUGUGAUCUACUACCUCUAAAUUGCUUACAUACCAAAAAUGUGAUUUGGAGACGACUAGC
This 1415-nucleotide long non-coding RNA is filed under the name Phoenix dactylifera (date palm). RNAcentral's name for it is "long non-coding RNA (PDAC_LNC000699)". Lineage: Eukaryota; Viridiplantae; Streptophyta; Magnoliopsida; Arecales; Arecaceae. The record is from RNAcentral.